GGGUUGUGAGGUUAAGCGACUAAGCGUACACGGUGGAUGCCCUGGCAGUCAGAGGCGAUGAAGGACGUGCUAAUCUGCGAAAAGCGUCGGUAAGGUGAUAUGAACCGUUACAGCCGGCGAUGUCCGAAUGGGGAAACCCAGUGCAAUUCGUUGCACUAUCGUUAACUGAAUACAUAGGUUAACGAGGCGAACCGGGGGAACUGAAACAUCUAAGUACCCCGAGGAAAAGAAAUCAACCGAGAUUCCCCCAGUAGCGGCGAGCGAACGGGGAGCAGCCCAGAGUCUGAAUCAGCUUGUGUGUUAGUGGAACGGUCUGGAAAGUCCGACGGUACAGGGUGAUAGUCCCGUACACCAAAAUGCACAGGCUGUGAACUCGAAGAGUAGGGCGGGACACGUGGUAUCCUGUCUGAAUAUGGGGGGACCAUCCUCCAAGGCUAAAUACUCCUGACUGACCGAUAGUGAACCAGUACCGUGAGGGAAAGGCGAAAAGAACCCCGGCGAGGGGAGUGAAAAAGAACCUGAAACCGUGUACGUACAAGCAGUGGGAGCACCUUCGGGUGUGACUGCGUACCUUUUGUAUAAUGGGUCAGCGACUUAUAUUCUGUAGCAAGGUUAACCGUAUAGGGGAGCCGCAGGGAAACCGAGUCUUAACUGGGCGUUAAGUUGCAGGGUAUAGACCCGAAACCCGGUGAUCUAGCCAUGGGCAGGUUGAAGGUUGGGUAACACUAACUGGAGGACCGAACCGACUAAUGUUGAAAAAUUAGCGGAUGACUUGUGGCUGGGGGUGAAAGGCCAAUCAAACCGGGAGAUAGCUGGUUCUCCCCGAAAGCUAUUUAGGUAGCGCCUCGUGAAUUCAUCUUCGGGGGUAGAGCACUGUUUCGGCUAGGGGGUCAUCCCGACUUACCAACCCGAUGCAAACUACGAAUACCGAAGAAUGUUAUCACGGGAGACACACGGCGGGUGCUAACGUCCGUCGUGAAGAGGGAAACAACCCAGACCGCCAGCUAAGGUCCCAAAGUCACAGUUAAGUGGGAAACGAUGUGGGAAGGCACAGACAGCCAGGAUGUUGGCUUAGAAGCAGCCAUCAUUUAAAGAAAGCGUAAUAGCUCACUGGUCGAGUCGGCCUGCGCGGAAGAUGUAACGGGGCUAAACUGUGCACCGAAGCUGCGGCAGCGACACUAUGUGUUGUUGGGUAGGGGAGCGUUCUGUAAGCCUGCGAAGGUGGCCUGUGAGGGUUGCUGGAGGUAUCAGAAGUGCGAAUGCUGACAUAAGUAACGAUAAUGCGGGUGAAAAGCCCGCACGCCGGAAGACCAAGGGUUCCUGUCCAACGUUAAUCGGGGCAGGGUGAGUCGACCCCUAAGGCGAGGCCGAAAGGCGUAGUCGAUGGGAAACAGGUUAAUAUUCCUGUACUUGGUGUUACUGCGAAGGGGGGACGGAGAAGGCUAUGUUAGCCGGGCGACGGUUGUCCCGGUUUAAGCAUGUAGGCGGAGGUUCCAGGUAAAUCCGGUACCUUUUAACGCUGAGGUGUGAUGACGAGGCACUACGGUGCUGAAGUAACAAAUGCCCUGCUUCCAGGAAAAGCCUCUAAGCAUCAGGUAACAUUGAAUCGUACCCCAAACCGACACAGGUGGUCAGGUAGAGAAUACCAAGGCGCUUGAGAGAACUCGGGUGAAGGAACUAGGCAAAAUGGUGCCGUAACUUCGGGAGAAGGCACGCUGAUAUGUAGGUGAAGUCCCUGCGGAUGGAGCUGAAAUCAGUCGAAGAUACCAGCUGGCUGCAACUGUUUAUUAAAAACACAGCACUGUGCAAACACGAAAGUGGACGUAUACGGUGUGACGCCUGCCCGGUGCCGGAAGGUUAAUUGAUGGGGUUAUCCGUAAGGAGAAGCUCUUGAUCGAAGCCCCGGUAAACGGCGGCCGUAACUAUAACGGUCCUAAGGUAGCGAAAUUCCUUGUCGGGUAAGUUCCGACCUGCACGAAUGGCGUAAUGAUGGCCAGGCUGUCUCCACCCGAGACUCAGUGAAAUUGAACUCGCUGUGAAGAUGCAGUGUACCCGCGGCAAGACGGAAAGACCCCGUGAACCUUUACUAUAGCUUGACACUGAACAUUGAGCCUUGAUGUGUAGGAUAGGUGGGAGGCUUUGAAGCGUGGACGCCAGUCUGCGUGGAGCCAACCUUGAAAUACCACCCUUUAAUGUUUGAUGUUCUAACGUUGGCCCCUAAUCGGGGUUGCGGACAGUGUCUGGUGGGUAGUUUGACUGGGGCGGUCUCCUCCCAAAGAGUAACGGAGGAGCACGAAGGUUAGCUAAUCCUGGUCGGACAUCAGGAGGUUAGUGCAAUGGCAUAAGCUAGCUUGACUGCGAGCGUGACGGCGCGAGCAGGUGCGAAAGCAGGUCAUAGUGAUCCGGUGGUUCUGAAUGGAAGGGCCAUCGCUCAACGGAUAAAAGGUACUCCGGGGAUAACAGGCUGAUACCGCCCAAGAGUUCAUAUCGACGGCGGUGUUUGGCACCUCGAUGUCGGCUCAUCACAUCCUGGGGCUGAAGUAGGUCCCAAGGGUAUGGCUGUUCGCCAUUUAAAGUGGUACGCGAGCUGGGUUUAGAACGUCGUGAGACAGUUCGGUCCCUAUCUGCCGUGGGCGCUGGAGAAUUGAGGGGGGCUGCUCCUAGUACGAGAGGACCGGAGUGGACGCAUCACUGGUGUUCGGGUUGUCAUGCCAAUGGCAUUGCCCGGUAGCUAAAUGCGGAAGAGAUAAGUGCUGAAAGCAUCUAAGCACGAAACUUGCCCCGAGAUGAGUUCUCCCUGAGACUUUAAGUCUCCUGAAGGAACGUUAAAGACGAUGACGUUGAUAGGUCGGGUGUGUAAGCGUAGCGAUACGUUGAGCUAACCGAUACUAAUGAACCGUGAGGCUUAACCUUACAAC
This 2918-nucleotide ribosomal RNA is filed under the name Klebsiella aerogenes. Its description in RNAcentral is "bacterial LSU rRNA". It matches the Rfam family "Bacterial large subunit ribosomal RNA". Lineage: Bacteria; Pseudomonadati; Pseudomonadota; Gammaproteobacteria; Enterobacterales; Enterobacteriaceae. The record is from RNAcentral.